RNAcentral lists this ribosomal RNA (372 nucleotides) under uncultured organism. RNAcentral's name for it is "bacterial SSU rRNA". It matches the Rfam family "Bacterial small subunit ribosomal RNA", at positions 526 to 896 of the family's 1533-position model. The record is from RNAcentral.
CAGAGGGUGCAAACGUUGCUCGGAAUCAUUGGGCGUAAAGCGCACGUAGGCGGCCCAGCAAGUGGGGAGUGAAGGCCCUCGGCUUAACCGAGGAAGUGCUUUCCAAACUACUGGGCUUGAGUACUGAAGAGGGUCGCGGAAUUCCCGGUGUAGAGGUGAAAUUCGUAGAUAUCGGGAGGAACACCAGUGGCGAAGGCGGCGACCUGGGCAGAUACUGACGCUGAGGUGCGAAAGCGUGGGGAGCAAGCAGGAUUAGAUACCCUGGUAGUCCACGCCGUAAACGAUGAGUGCUAGAUGUCGCGGGUAUUGACCCCUGCGGCGUCGAAGUUAACGCAUUAAGCACUUCGCCUGGGGAGUACGGCCGCAAGGCUA